AGAGUUUGAUCCUGGCUCAGGAUGAACGCUGGCGGCGUGCCUAAUACAUGCAAGUCGAGCGAACCGAUUAGAAGCUUGCUUCUAUGACGUUAGCGGCGGACGGGUGAGUAACACGUGGGCAACCUGCCUGUAAGACUGGGAUAACUUCGGGAAACCGAAGCUAAUACCGGAUAGGAUCUUCUCCUUCAUGGGAGAUGAUUGAAAGAUGGUUUCGGCUAUCACUUACAGAUGGGCCCGCGGUGCAUUAGCUAGUUGGUGAGGUAACGGCUCACCAAGGCAACGAUGCAUAGCCGACCUGAGAGGGUGAUCGGCCACACUGGGACUGAGACACGGCCCAGACUCCUACGGGAGGCAGCAGUAGGGAAUCUUCCGCAAUGGACGAAAGUCUGACGGAGCAACGCCGCGUGAGUGAUGAAGGCUUUCGGGUCGUAAAACUCUGUUGUUAGGGAAGAACAAGUACGAGAGUAACUGCUCGUACCUUGACGGUACCUAACCAGAAAGCCACGGCUAACUACGUGUCAGCAGCCGCGGUAAUACGUAGGUGGCAAGCGUUAUCCGGAAUUAUUGGGCGUAAAGCGCGCGCAGGCGGUUUCUUAAGUCUGAUGUGAAAGCCC
Molecule: ribosomal RNA, 614 nt
Filed under: uncultured marine bacterium
Lineage: Bacteria
Description: bacterial SSU rRNA
Rfam family: Bacterial small subunit ribosomal RNA
Source: RNAcentral